Molecule: long non-coding RNA, 545 nt
Filed under: Mus caroli (Ryukyu mouse)
Lineage: Eukaryota; Metazoa; Chordata; Mammalia; Rodentia; Muridae
Description: lncRNA (MGP_CAROLIEiJ_G0004404.1)
Source: RNAcentral
CACAGGCCCUGUGCUGUCUCAGCUGAGAGGUCCCCAUCUGCUGACUCACUCGCACCUGGGGCUUCUUGGCUGGUCAUCUGGAAAGGUACAAACUGAAGUUUUCUUUAUCCAAGGCAAUCUUUUAGAAGUCACCCUACGUUUCUUCAAAGCGUCUGGACGCAGUGUGGAACAUGGUUUAUUUCGUCCAUGUUGCAGCAGCCUGUGUUGGAACUCGCUGAGGUUUGAAGCCUGUCAUCAACAUACAGACUGACAUGAACUUUCAAUGGGGAGCCACAGAGGGCUGUACGGGCAAACAGGAGAAACGACAGGGUACCAAAGACUUCCCUGUCAGCUGAAGGGCACCCUGGAUGCAUGUCUCUGAGCCCUCACACUCCUGUAACCUGUGAAGGGUAAGCAAGCAGAACAGGUGAUGGGCCAUGCAUCUUCCUGACGCACUGUGAAGCAGGAAGAGAUGGAACAGUGGCUCUGGGUUACCGGUGAGGAGCGAGAAGCACCAACAUGGGUCUUCAUUCUGGAUUUCAUCUUCAAUAUUGAUCCACAGGCCU